UCUAUGAUUAUUUAGCAUGUGCUUUGUUUCUAACCCCCUGCUCUCCCUGCUCUCUACUCUGUCCUUCUUUCUGAGGAUGUCCUGUCUGGUAUUUCAGUGAAAGGAUUUGUCUGGUAACAGCAGCAUUCAAAAACAUUGCCUCCUACUGUGCACAAGGUCUAUCGUGUACCACAGAGCUUUCUCUUCUACCAGUAACAGAAACCUCAUAAAUUUUUAAUGGCUGCGAUUCAGCAUAUUCCUUACUUCAAAGGCACUUCUACAUUCUUACUGGAAUUUCUCUUCUUGAAGUUCACAGAGACCAACUAUGGUGUCCUUGGGUGAAAUAUGAGAUACGGGGACUGCUGGGUUCUUCAGGAUUUGCAACUUCCAGAUGUUUUACACAACUGUUCGAAAUUGAGAUGUUGGGUGUAUGGCUUUCAUUUGUUUUUUUCUACAGUUCGCUCUUUUGCUCCUUUGCCCCCCUUUCCUUUGUGUGGUAUUUGAGAUGGUUUAAGGUAAGGGCAUAUAUUGUCUAUCCAUUUUUAUUGUGGCUCUGGAUCCAAUCAGUGAUGCUAGUGGCUGAGUGAACUUCUAUGUCUAGUAGCUUUUUACAAGCUUCUUUACGCUG
This is a long non-coding RNA of Melopsittacus undulatus (budgerigar), 607 nucleotides long. RefSeq lists it as uncharacterized. The record is from RefSeq and is a predicted model, not a curated record. The transcript has 3 exons. Lineage: Eukaryota; Metazoa; Chordata; Aves; Psittaciformes; Psittaculidae.